GUAUUAAAGGUGCUGCCUGCCCAGUGAGACAUUUCAACGGCCGCGGUAUCCUAACCGUGCAAAGGUAGCGUAAUCACUUGUCUUUUAAAUAAAGACUUGUAUGAAAGGCUAAAUGAAGACGAAACUGUCUCCUAUAGUCGACCAGUAAAACUGAUCUCCAAGUACAAAAGCUUGGAUAAACACAUAAGACGAGAAGACCCUGUGGAGCUUAAAACUAUACUAUUACAGCAAAUAGCCCUAGUUUUAAGUUGGGGCGACUUCGGAACAAAACAAAACUUCCGAGCACAGAGCCAACAACUCUAACACAGACCAACAAGUCAAAGAACAGCAACGACCCAGUCACACUGAGCAACGAACCAAGUUACCCCAGGGAUAACAGCGCCAUCUUCUUCAAGAGUCCCUAUCGACAAGAAGGUUUACGACCUCGAUGUUGGAUCAGGACACCCAAAUGGUGCAGAAG
This 460-nucleotide ribosomal RNA is filed under the name Lygisaurus zuma. RNAcentral describes it as "partial 16S ribosomal RNA". It matches the Rfam family "Bacterial large subunit ribosomal RNA", at positions 1843 to 2561 of the family's 2925-position model. Lineage: Eukaryota; Metazoa; Chordata; Lepidosauria; Squamata; Scincidae. The record is from RNAcentral.